AAUUUUGGACAACGGGGGAAACCCUGAUCCAGCCAUCCCGCGCGUAUGAUGAAGGCCNNNGGGUUNUAACGUACUUUUGGCAGNGAANAAAAGGUACCGCCUAAUACGAGGUACUGCUGACGGUAUCUGCAGAAUAAGCACCGGCUAACUACGUGCCAGCAGCCGCGGUAAUACGUAGGGUGCAAGCGUUAAUCGGAAUUACUGGGCGUAUAGAGUGUGUAGGCGGUUCGUAAAGAAAGAAGUGAAAUCCCAGGGCUCAACCUUGGAACUACAGUUUUAACUGCCGAGCUAGAGUAUGUCAGAGGGGGGUAGAAUUCCACGUGUAGCAGUGAAAUGCGUAGAUAUGUGGAGGAAUACCGAUGGCGAAGGCAGCCCCCUGGGAUAAUACUGACGCUCAGAAACGAAAGCGUGGGGGGCAAACAG
This 423-nucleotide ribosomal RNA is filed under the name uncultured bacterium. RNAcentral's name for it is "partial 16S ribosomal RNA". It matches the Rfam family "Bacterial small subunit ribosomal RNA", at positions 360 to 775 of the family's 1533-position model. The record is from RNAcentral.